This 253-nucleotide ribosomal RNA is filed under the name uncultured bacterium. Its description in RNAcentral is "partial 16S ribosomal RNA". It matches the Rfam family "Bacterial small subunit ribosomal RNA", at positions 524 to 776 of the family's 1533-position model. The record is from RNAcentral.
UACGUAGGUGGCAAGCGUUGUCCGGAUUUACUGGUCGUAAAGAGCGCGCAGGCGGUCGUUCAAGUCGCGUGUGAAAGCCCCCGGCUCAACUGGGGAGGGUCACGCGAUACUGAUCGACUCGAAGGCAGGAGAGGGAAGUGGAAUUCCCGGUGUAGUGGUGAAAUGCGUAGAUAUCGGGAGGAACACCAGUGGCGAAGGCGACUUCCUGGCCUGUUCUUGACGCUGAGGCGCGAAAGCCAGGGGAGCAAACGGG